UUGUAAUCUGAUCACAAUCUACACUUGUAUUACACGUGAGAAUGAAUGAAAGUUUUAUGCUGACUUUUCAUCACAGAAACAAAUACAAACCUGUCUUUGUAACAAUUUAACACCACCGUAAACAAUACAUUGUUGAGGGGGGGGGGAGGGAAAGCACAAUGUUCUUGAAGCCAAUGGCUAAAAUUCCUCCAAUGAAGCAUGCGAUCCUGCAAAUUUUUACACAGUAAAUACAAGACCCAUUUCGCCACAUGGUGGUAUAUAUGCACUACUUUAACUUCAAUCCAAGGCAACACCAAUACUUCACAAUGAAAAUAGAUUCACAGAGGCAAGUGAGACUUGAUCUGAAAUCAAUUGAAACUAGGAACACAAUCCUUUCCACAUAAUUUGUCAGCUCAUGCUUAGAUAGGGGGCCCAAUGUCACCACUUGCAUCAAUUUCAGAUUCCAAAUCAGCAUCCCAGUCAUCAGAUGUACCAGCAAUAGCUUGCUCACUGACUUUCGCAACUUCCCCAGGCAUCUUUGCCUCUUGUAUGAUACACAUUACUUCAUCAACACUCUGACUUGGUUGAUCGCGUUCUGAUUCCGCAAAGUUUUUCUUCUCAAUUUCAAUGAGCUCCUUCGGAAAAUUUUUUAGAAACCAAGGGUGCUGCUUGAUCUCUGGGAUGGUAAUCCUCUUGGCAGGAUUAGCCACAAAAAUACGAGAAAGGAGGUGCUUGCAAUCUGCAGAGACUCGUACAUAGUCUGGUAUGGAGUAUUGAACGCUCAUUAUUCUCCCAAUGGUCUUACGGAAAUUCCUAGGGUCUUCAGGAUCCUCAAAAGGGUAUGCUCCCACCAACAUCACAUAUAAUGUCACCCCACACGACCAAACAUCUGAAAUCUUGCCAUCAUAUUCUUUUCGAGAUAGAACUUCAGGAGCAAUGUACGCAGGUGUUCCAACUGUAGAUUUGGGUUGCGAGUGCAACAGAGCAGACUUGGAAUAACCAAAAUCACAUAUUUUAAGUCGGGGCGUAGGGCUUCCAUCCAAAAGUGUAUUUUCAAGUUUCAGAUCCCUGUGACAAAUUUCCAUGGAAUGACAGUAGCUGACUCCAGAUAUUAGCUGCUGAAAGAAGAAUCUCGCCUCAUCUUCGCUAAAUCUACCAGCACUGCAUAUCCUUGCAAAGAGUUCACCACCAGCUGCAUAUUCCAUGACAAUUGCUAAAUGUGUCGGAGUCAACAAGACCUCUUUGAACCGAACAAUAUUUGGAUGCCUUAAAGAUCUGUGAUUGAUGAUUUCUCUCUGCACAUUCUCAUCAAUCUUUUUCCCCCUCUCUAUGUACUUUACAGCAACAAGCUCCUUUGUCUUCUUAUCCCUCACUAGCCUUGCCACCCCAAAAUUACCAGAACCAAGAUCCUUAAUUGGCUCAUAUCUCUCCUCCAUCUUUUCCCACACAAAGACAAAACGGAAAGGAAAGAAAAGAAAAUGCUAAAGCAGACCAACAAAUCGCCAACAGCGAAAAAAGAAAAUAAAUCAAACA
This 1512-nucleotide unclassified non-coding RNA is filed under the name Hevea brasiliensis (rubber tree). Lineage: Eukaryota; Viridiplantae; Streptophyta; Magnoliopsida; Malpighiales; Euphorbiaceae. The record is from RNAcentral.